Non-coding RNA from Dermacentor albipictus, 612 nucleotides. The record is from RefSeq and is a predicted model, not a curated record. Lineage: Eukaryota; Metazoa; Arthropoda; Arachnida; Ixodida; Ixodidae.
GCGGGCGGAACGUUUCAUACGUACUAAGAAAGCGAUAGCUGCUGCUUAUCCUUCGAUUCGAAGUCUCCUCAGUGUUGCGACUUGUCGAAUUUCUGCUCUGAGAAGAAGAUGUCGUUUCCUCAGCACCUGGCAAUGUCCACGAAGCUCAAGGCAUUGGAAACCAAAACAGCUCAAAGACCGGGUCACCAUUACUACUGGGAGUACGGAUACACAACGCUAAGCUGGAAGAAUGACGAAACUCCCUCACCUAAAGUGGUCGGAUACACGGUGCGAAUUUUCGGAUUCUUCACGAACGACGGUGGCACAACCGAAGUCAGACUUCGCUAUUCAAAUAAAUACUCCCUCUCCUCAAUGAUAGAGCACAGCCAAUACAAAUGUCACUCAUCCGGGUACGACAACAACGAUAAGAAAAGGUAUCCCAAGAAAGAGAUACGACUGCCCGAGCAGAGCUUCUUUUCUAUUGCUGUCAGAAUACAUCAGUCUGACACACUUGCCUCGCUGUACGAGGAGGACGUCAUGUUCACCGAGAAUGUUGGCGACAUCCUGUGUAAGUUACAUCUUUUCCCGCACUUAAGACCUAAGGGUGGUACAGCACUCGAAAUCUCGAAUACC